This 69-nucleotide transfer RNA is filed under the name Hydroscapha granulum. RNAcentral describes it as "tRNA-Met". It matches the Rfam family "tRNA". Rfam says of the family: Transfer RNA (tRNA) molecules are approximately 80 nucleotides in length. Lineage: Eukaryota; Metazoa; Arthropoda; Insecta; Coleoptera; Hydroscaphidae. The record is from RNAcentral.
AAAAAGGUAAGCUAACUAAGCUAUUAGGUUCAUACCCUAUUUAUAAAGGUAUAACCCCUUUUCUUUUUA